This 1246-nucleotide long non-coding RNA is filed under the name Homo sapiens (human). RNAcentral describes it as "HSALNT0065207". The record is from RNAcentral. Lineage: Eukaryota; Metazoa; Chordata; Mammalia; Primates; Hominidae.
GUAGUUACAGAGCUAGUGAGUCCCUUCCUCCCGUCUCUCAUGCCCAGGAAAUGCUCCAGCGACCCCAGCUCAGUUUUCACUUAAGUCCUUCCUCAUGGCUGUUUAGCAGAGUGUAAUUUAGGCCAAUUACUUUGCUGAUGCCGCUUAUCCUCCCUCCUCGCCCUCCCCUAAAUUCCCACUGUACCCCCGCUCCUUCCCCAUUUACAUUUUUCAGAUGAAACAAUAGACAGAAUGUGAAAGUGAGCCUAGCUCAUUUGGCCUGGAGGCUACAACAGGUUGAUACUACCAGAGGAGCAAGGCCCACCUGACGGGACUAGGGGAAACACGUGGAUGCUGACAGGCCAAGAGGGAAGAUUGCAGCCAACUGGUGCCCCAUCUUAAAACUUUCUCCCAUCAAACUCAUUCUGGUGAAUCACUCAUGGAUUUAAGUUCUCCAGGGGAUUUGAUGCACAGGAAAGAUUAAGAACUCCUGUGAUGGGUGGAUUUGUGGCAGCACAAGAAGUCCAAAGCAACUUGUGGAGGCAUUUUCCAUGCAGAGAGAACAACACUGCACAGACUUUUGAGGCAAAAAAAGCUUGAAGCAAGUUGCCAUGGUUUGAGCUUCUAUAUUGGAGGAGUCCAUGCGCAAGGAGCUUAGGGUAGCCUUGGGUCAACAGUCAAAAAGAAAUUGAAGUCCUCAUUCCAGCAACCUACAAGGAACUGGAUGCUGCUGAUAGCCAGAUGUUCUUAAGUCAAGCCUCAGAUGAGACUACAGCCCUGGCCAACAUGCUGAUUGUAUCCUGUGAUACCCAGAAGCAAAUGACCUAGCUAAGCCAUGACUGGAUUCUGAUCCACAGAAACUAGGCUGAGAAGUUCUACAAACUGCCAUUUCCAGGUUUUUCUGGAGAACCAGGAAAAUCAGCAGUGUAACUCAAAGUCCUGAGAACCAGUGGAGCUGAUGGUACUCCAAAAUUUGAUGAAUCAACCUCAUCAGUCUUCUCGUAUUCCUAGGCCCAUUAUAAAGGUGACUAAACUGAGGCGGCAGCAACACUCUCCAUAUCACCAUCAGUACCACCACCAACACCACCACCAACACAAAUGCACAUGCACUUGAACUUAAUCAUCUUGCUCUUUAGAAAUAUGAGGACAACAGAGAAAAAACUUUUCCCUGAUAGACAGGUAACAAAGAUGCUUCGACAACAAAUACACCACAGAGAAGUAUUCUGCGCAAAAGGCAUUUCUGUUUCAGCCAAUGGCCUAUAUCAAU